AAAAUCCUGAUGUGUACGUCCAAAUUACAUUUUGACCGAACACUAAAUUGAUAGGGAGCUCGCAAUCGUUUUUAUAUGGCAUACAUGCCCUUUUUUAAGGGACGUAUAAAGUAUAAAACAGAGCACCCACCUGCCAAGAGCGGGAUCAAAAGAACCAUUUGGACGGCACAAUUGGGAUUUUA
RNAcentral lists this non-coding RNA (182 nucleotides) under Cerasibacillus quisquiliarum. RNAcentral describes it as "6S / SsrS RNA". It matches the Rfam family "6S / SsrS RNA". Rfam says of the family: E. coli 6S RNA was the first non coding RNA to be sequenced, but its function was unknown until recently. It consists of 184 nucleotides that fold into an extended hairpin structure with a large single-stranded internal bulge. The record is from Rfam by way of RNAcentral. Lineage: Bacteria; Bacillati; Bacillota; Bacilli; Caryophanales; Bacillaceae.